Molecule: long non-coding RNA, 2877 nt
Organism: Pecten maximus
Lineage: Eukaryota; Metazoa; Mollusca; Bivalvia; Pectinida; Pectinidae
Exons: 4
Source: RefSeq, a predicted model, not a curated record
GUCUGGCGUCUGUAGAAACGAAUCGCAACAUGGUUUACUGUUACGCAUUUCGGUGUACUCACCGGACAGGAGGGAAACAUACGUGUAGUUUGUUCAGAUUCCCAACAGAAACAAAGGAACGAAAGAUAUGGAUUGAAAGAUGCAGGCGUGCUGACUAUAUAACCCCAAUGACAGGAUAUGUGCAGCUGUCACUUUGAGGAAGGGAAAAAGGAAUUUGGGCCAACUAUAUUCGUAUACAGCAAAAAUGUCAACUGUUUUCCAGAUAUUCCAACACCUAAAAGUAACCAUCAUCUUUACCAUGUAGUGGCUGCCUCAUCACUCGGAUCAUCCAUAUUAUGUGCAACAAAAUGAGGACCAGGAUGAGGAUGUUGCUGUGGUUGAAGAUCCCUAAAAACUAUCUAAAUCAGAUGCUGCUCAACACCUCAUUUACAGCAGAUGUAUUCCAAGUUUUGGUGAACAUGCUAUACAGGUUAUCACCAUUCAAUUACUAUGCUGGAUGGACAGUUACAUGUUUCAGCCUAGAGGACCAGCUACUGAUGACAUUGAUGAAAUUACGUUUAAACUGCAAAGAUAUGGAUUUGGCUGUUAGAUUUGGGACAAGUAGGGCUACUGUAUCUAAUAUAAUAAACACCUAUAUUUCAGUGUUACACAAAAUUUUGUGUGAGGGAGUGAUGACAACCUUCGGUAUUCCUAGCCAGCUUAAAGUGACAAUUUAGUCAAGUUUGUUUACUUUUUUAUCAUUUCACGAAAGUGUACUUCAGUUCUCCUUAUGAACUAUCCUUGGUCAUAUAUUGAUACAAAUUUAUGUUUUCCAUGCGUUUUUUAAUUAAUUGUAAGGCGGAUCCUAAUCGUAUAACCAUACGAUUUAUAUGCAAAUGAGCAAGUCGUCUCUAGUCUCUCUAUACACUUUGUAUACAUGUGUACAAGCACAGCCCCGUCUCGUGACUGUAAACAACAUUGGUUUGCAUUUGAAGCUGUUAGCGGAUAUUUUAACAAUAGGUUGCAGCUAGGUCUUGUACCAAACGUAGAAAGUGAAUGGAUAAACAAAAUAUAUGGAGAAUUACUGUUAGGUCAUGAAUAUAACAAAUGUGAGUUUUUCGAACGGUUGCGACAACAAUGAAGAAGUUCAUACAGUUGUGAGCGAGUUUGCCGAGACUUGACCUAGAUCGACCUACGGAGUUAUGUUGAGUGCGAUAUUUUUGUUCUGUACAACUUCCAUUAUCAUAAUUCCAUUCGUACUUGUUAUAAGUAUUGUUCUGAUUACAUCCUGGAUGGAAUAAAUCACAUAGAUGAGUGUUAGCGUUUGUUUGCAUGUUGUAAGUCGAAAUCCAAAGAAAUAAGUAUACAUUGGAUCUACCGUGUCGUCACUUACAAUCAACUCUGUUCCCGCCAGAGGGCGGAACAAGUUGCACUAUAUUUGGAGCAUAGCUAUAUUUGACGUGGUCUUUCCCAAAACUUAAACUGACAAAAUGGACAUUGGCUACGUAGCAGAUAACUGUUGACCGCAGAUUAUAUAGUCUGGGUAUAUGUUUUAUUGAUUCUGCUUGAAUUAUAAAAAGGAUGCUUGACUAGAUUGUCCCUUUAAAUGCAAGGGGUCUAUGCCCAAAUCAUUUGAAGAUUUUACAUCUGCUAGGAUAACAAUAAUUGCAACAUAAGUUGUUCAAGAUGUUCCUUCUGACAUGAACAGCCAGUCUCUAGCCUAUAGUAGUUACAAGAGUAGGCAUACAGUGAAAGCUGUCACAUGUGUUGCCCCAAAUGGAGCACUGGUUUAUUGCUCGGACUUGUACCCUGGUUCUACAUCUGAUGCUGCAACAGUAGAACAUUGCAAACUUUUAGACCAGCUUAAAGCAGGGGAUAUGAUACUUGCAGACAAAGGUUUUAAUAUAUUUGAUAAACUUCCUGCUGGUGUGUCAUUAAACAUUCCACCUUUUCUUUCAACAAAAGGUCAUUUAACAAAAGAAGAGGCUGAGCUUUGUUACAAAAUUGGAAGGAGCAGAAUUCAUGCUGAAAGAGCCAAUGAAAGAAUAAAAAAUUAUGACAUUUUGAAUCAUAUACCAGCUCAUAGGCAUUUGUCUACACAAAUAUUUCAGCUAUGUUGUUGUCUUAUUAAUCUUCAAGCACCUUUGUUAAAGGAAAUUGCAUAUAAAUAUGAAAUUUAGAUUACAAGCGGUGAUGGUUCUGAUCUGCCUGCAAUAUCCUUGCCUUGUUCAGUUUUACAGUGCAAGCCCACUGAAGUAUCAUGCUGUAGGCAAUAAUUGUCUACUAUUCUUUCUAACCAUAUUACCACGGAUUGUCAAACAGGGCAAACAACAACUACUCUACUAUUUUAUUGUCUUCGGUAUUUUACUAUUUGUUUUAGUAUGUAGUUCUGAUCUACUUCUACCAACCUGGCCUUUUUCCAGUUUUAUUGUGCAAGCACACUGAAAUAUCAUGCUGCAGAUAGAAAAUAAUCACUGCUCUAUCCUUUUAACCACUUGCAGUGUUUAACAGAUUUAUAGUGAUAGCUUUAAUUACUGUACCAUAGGGUUAUGCUGCAGAUCAGAACCAAUAUUUAACUCUAUCAUAAUCAUUACUGCUUUACUUUAUCAUUACUGCUUUACUUUUGCAGCAUGAGGCGGUCGUUUCUAUUUUACAACAUAUCCACUUAUAUAUAUUAUUGUAACAAAAAUGAUAUGUUACAAAUAUUUGUUACAUUUAUUUCCUUUUAUUUGUAGGCACAUAAUGUAAAAAACAAUAUAGUGGUGAACAUGUUUAUGGAUACAAACAAUUAUUCAUUUUUUUUUCAAUGUUACAAAAUGUCUGCAUUAUCAAUGGUCAAUGUUUUGUUUCUGUUAGUAAAUAUGAUUGUCAGCUUAAAAUAAAAUUGCCUGGAAAUCA